GGGGCCGCUAGUGAGAGCUGGAGCCGGGCUGCGGCCUCCUCGGGCUUCUUGGUCCCGGCUGUUCUCAGUGGCCGCGGCCGGACCUGGAGUAGUGGCUGAGCCGCUCUGGCCGAGCAAGGCGCGGGUCCCCGGUCUACAGCUUGCUGGACCCGGCUCCGCCGUGACGGAAUUCCCGAGACCUCAGCGUCACGCAAGACGCGCACUGGAGGCCGCCGCGGCGAGUCCUGGGGUCUCCGCCAGGCCUCGACGCCUGAGCUGGGGACGUGCUGGAGGGACGCCCGGCCCCGCCGCUGCCCGAGACCCCGCUGUCCCGGCCGCGCCCGGCCUGGUGCCUGGGGUCGUGUCCGGUCCGCGCUGGAGGAGAGUCCCAGACGGCAGAGCCCGCGCUCGCCUCCCUUCUGCCAAGAUUCACAAAACACGGCAGAGUGGCCUCGGCAUCACCUGCCCAAGACACCUGCACGACCGGAAGUUGGGAGAAGAAAUAAGGCCACGAUGACGAACGCAGCCUUUCACGUUUAUUUCCAAUCUCACAACAAACCGGAGACCAGGAACUCUUGGGUGAUUAUCGGAAUAUUACUUAGUCCUAAAACUGUGGAGCAUUGGUUUCUAAAGGAAUCUGAGACAGGCCCGCAGUGUCUUCUCCACAUGCCUUAAGUCUCUUCUGCAAAGCAGAAAACCAUUUUUUAGUAAAUGUUAGUGAAAUUGGUUUUAAAAAAGAGAAAAGUCCGGGCGCGGUGGCUCACGCCUGUAAUCCUAGCACUUUAGGAGGCCGAGGUGGUUGGAUUGCCUGAGUUCAGGAGUUCGAGGCCAGCCUGGGCGACACGGUGAAACCCCGUCUCUACUAAAAUACAAAAAAUUAGCCGGGCGUGGCGGCGCGCGCCUGUAAUCCCAGCUGCUCGGGAGGCUGAGGCAGGAGAAUGGCUUGAACCUGGGAGGGUGAGGUUGCAGUGAGCCGAGAUUGCGCCACUGCCCUCCAGCCUGGGCGACAGAGCGAGACUCCGUCUUUUCAAAAACAAAGAAAAAGAAAAGGCUUUCAAAAUUACUCUGUGGUACACUAAUAUGACAGAUUGGAUCACUUUCCAGGCUUUAAGUUGGCCUUUGUUCUAUCCUUUUUUAGUGUAUGAUAAAAUUUGUGUUGGUUCCUUGAUCAGCAUGCAGUGAACGCUGGCUCGUGUUAAU
RNAcentral lists this long non-coding RNA (1179 nucleotides) under Theropithecus gelada (gelada). RNAcentral describes it as "lncRNA (ENSTGEG00000006586.1)". The record is from RNAcentral. Lineage: Eukaryota; Metazoa; Chordata; Mammalia; Primates; Cercopithecidae.